GACGAACCGUCCAAACGUUGUUCGGAAUCACUGGGCUUAAAGGGCGCGUAGGCGGGUCAGCAAGUCUAGGGUGAAAUCCUCCGGCUCAACCGGAGAACAGCCUUGGAUACUGCUGGUCUCGAGGGAGGUAGGGGUCUGUGGAACUUCUGGUGGAGCGGUGAAAUGCGUUGAUAUCAGAAGGAACGCCGGUGGCGAAAGCGACGGACUGGACCUCCACUGACGCUGAGGCGCGAAAGCUAGGGGAGCAAACGGG
RNAcentral lists this ribosomal RNA (253 nucleotides) under uncultured bacterium. Its description in RNAcentral is "partial 16S ribosomal RNA". It matches the Rfam family "Bacterial small subunit ribosomal RNA", at positions 524 to 776 of the family's 1533-position model. The record is from RNAcentral.